UGGGGCAGGAGAGGAUGGUCACAGCCAAGGUCUCAGGCAAGUUCCUGGGAUGGGCCACCAAGUGAAGGUCCUUGGUUUCUUGCAGGAAAGAAUUCAAGAUCAAGCCACAGUAAAGUGAAAGCAGGGAACACACAUCCCACAGAGAGAACACCGUCAGCCUCAGAAGGGUUAUGCCCUGGCCGCCUUCCCUCCUGUCUCAGUUCAGUUGUCACCAUCUCUGUGCACUGGAUCUACACUGGAGCAGAACAAGUUGGCAGCACCUGAGGCUAUUUCAGUGUUCCUGUCUACCUCUGUGAAUGCGACGGAUCCACAGAGGAGGGAACCAAGUCCCAGAAUCCAGUGAUGUUAGCAUGUUUGGUGUGAGUUCAGCCUGCAACCCUCAUGGAAUCUCUGUGUACUCAAAGAUGAGAACUCAAUGAAAAGAUCUGCAUUCCCCACAGGUACAGAGGGCAGAGAAAGUCAAGUGUGUGCAAUUGACAGAA
This is a long non-coding RNA of Phacochoerus africanus (Common warthog), 482 nucleotides long. RefSeq lists it as uncharacterized. The record is from RefSeq and is a predicted model, not a curated record. The transcript has 3 exons. NCBI's taxonomy places the organism in Eukaryota, Metazoa, Chordata, Mammalia, Artiodactyla, Suidae.